RNAcentral lists this microRNA (21 nucleotides) under Mus musculus (house mouse). RNAcentral's name for it is "mmu-miR-5616-5p". The record is from miRBase by way of RNAcentral. Lineage: Eukaryota; Metazoa; Chordata; Mammalia; Rodentia; Muridae.
UUUCCUCUCAUCACAAGUUGA